UUAAGUUUAAAACUCUUGCAAGCACUUUUAAUUGAUUAGGAAUGAAUUCUAGAUGCACAAAAUGAUUGGACUGUGAACAGUAAUACAACUAUAUCUAAGAACAAUUAACUUUUGCUGGCCAAAAAAGAAACUUAUGAUUGCAUGAAAAUGUGUAUAAAACAUCUAUAGAGUAUUCUUGUCAAAUAUAAAUGAAAUUAACUUUAUUAUAGAAAUCAUUCUGAGGAUUUCUAGGGAAGACAAAUACUUACAUUUUGACAUAAAACAAAUUGGAUUAUAUCAAAGACACACUCUACCUUUCAGCUAUCAACUUUUUUCUUCCUUGAAUUUAUAUCUUACCCUUUUUUUUGCACAUAAACUUCAUCUGUUAACAACCUUUGGAAAACCAACAGAUAUUUCUUACAUAAAUCUAGUGCAUGUUGUUCCAGGUUUAAUUAUAUGCAAGGAAUGAUACAAACGUGGAACAUCAGUCCAUAAACUAUGAACAGAUGGGUAGAAGUAUUCCAUAUAUCUUGAUAAAACUCUUAAAUUCGUGGCAAAGCUUGUCGAUCAUGAUUUCCUUUUUUUUUUAAACAACUUCAUGAUCAACAGAGAUCAAACAUCCAUCCAGUCUACGUUGUUCUUUUUUCAUUAUAACAUACAAAUGCCCAUUUACAAAUAAUACACCAAAAUGAAUAAAAGUUUGGAUACCAAAAUGAAGAUUUGUUCCAACUGACAUCGUGCCUUCUGUAUACAAAGGUCCUUGUUUUCAAGUCCAUUCCCCAGUGGUACCACACAGGACACAACCGCAGAACCGAAGUGCUUCUAACAGCCACUUUUCUUUCCUUCCUGAACGCCCAACUGCUGUGUCCACAUAGUCACUGACUGAAUUAACACAAUAUA
This 879-nucleotide long non-coding RNA is filed under the name Bos taurus (domestic cattle). Its description in RNAcentral is "long non-coding RNA NONBTAT007288". The record is from RNAcentral. Lineage: Eukaryota; Metazoa; Chordata; Mammalia; Artiodactyla; Bovidae.